Molecule: non-coding RNA, 70 nt
Organism: Nemania sp. NC0429
Lineage: Eukaryota; Fungi; Ascomycota; Sordariomycetes; Xylariales; Xylariaceae
Source: the annotation of a GenBank genome assembly
GCCCGGUUAGCUCAAUCGGUAGAGCGUGAGACUCUUAAUCUCAAGGUUGCGGGUGAGUACUCACCUGACA